Molecule: ribosomal RNA, 303 nt
Filed under: uncultured bacterium
Lineage: Bacteria
Description: partial 16S ribosomal RNA
Rfam family: Bacterial small subunit ribosomal RNA
Source: RNAcentral
AGCAGUCGCCGCGGUAAUACGGAGGGAGCUAGCGUUAUUCGGAAUUACUGGGCGUAAAGCGCACGUAGGCGGCUUUGUAAGUUAGAGGUGAAAGCCUGGAGCUCAACUCCAGAAUUGCCUUUAAGACUGCAUCGCUUGAAUCCAGGAGAGGUGAGUGGAAUUCCGAGUGUAGAGGUGAAAUUCGUAGAUAUUCGGAAGAACACCAGUGGCGAAGGCGGCUCACUGGACUGGUAUUGACGCUGAGGUGCGAAAGCGUGGGGAGCAAACAGGAUUAGAUACCCCCGUAGUCCCUGUCUCUUAUAC